RNAcentral lists this transfer RNA (71 nucleotides) under Clostridium sp. RNAcentral describes it as "tRNA-Gln". It matches the Rfam family "tRNA". Rfam says of the family: Transfer RNA (tRNA) molecules are approximately 80 nucleotides in length. Their secondary structure includes four short double-helical elements and three loops (D, anti-codon, and T loops). RNAcentral also lists the same sequence under 11 other names. Lineage: Bacteria; Bacillati; Bacillota; Clostridia; Eubacteriales; Clostridiaceae. The record is from RNAcentral.
UGCGGAUUGGUGUAAUGGCAGCACAACAGACUCUGACUCUGUUUGUGAAGGUUCGAGUCCUUCAUCCGUAG